AUAGCAUAUCAAUAAGCGGAGGAAAAGAAACUAACAAGGAUUCCCCUAGUAACGGCGAGUGAAGCGGGAAGAGCUCAAAUUUGAAAUCUGGCGGUCUCAGGCCGUCCGAGUUGUAAUCUAGAGAGGUGUUUUCCGUGCCGGACCGUGUACAAGUCCCUUGGAACAGGGCGUCAUAGAGGGUGAGAAUCCCGUCCAUGACACGGACUACCGGUGCUCUGUGAUACACCUUCAAAGAGUCGAGUUGUUUGGGAAUGCAGCUCAAAACGGGUGGUAAAUUCCAUCUAAAGCUAAAUACAGGCGAGAGACCGAUAGCGAACAAGUACCGUGAGGGAAAGAUGAAAAGAACUUUGGAAAGAGAGUUAAACAGUACGUGAAAUUGUUGAAAGGGAAACGCUUGAAGUCAGUCGCGUCUGCCAGGACUCAGCCUUGCUUCUGCUUGGUGCAUUUCUUGGUGGAUGGGCCAGCAUCGAUUUUGAUUGCCGGAAAAGGGCGGGAGGAAUGUGGCAGCUUUUGCUGUGUUAUAGCCUUCCGUCGUACACGGUGGUUGGGAUCGAGGACUGCAGCACGCCUUUGGUCGGGGUUCGCCCACGCCACGUGCUUAGGAUGCUGGCGUAAUGGCUUUAAACGACCCGUCUUGAAACACGGACCAAGGAGUCUAACAUGCCUGCGAGUGUUUGGGUGCAAAACCCAGGCGCGUAAUGAAAGUGAAAAGUUGGGACUCUUUAGUGAGGCACCGACGCCCGACCCUGAAGUCUUCUGACGGGUUUGAGGCAGAGCAUGUAUGUUGAGACCCGAAAGAUGGUGAACUAUGCCUGAAUAGGGUGAAGCCAGAGGAAACUCUGGUGGAGGCUCGUAGCGAUUCUGACGUGCAAAUCGAUCGUCAAAUUUGGGUAUAGGGGCGAAAGACUAAUCGAACCAUCUAGUAGCUGGUUCCUGCCGAGUCCCCCCCUCGAGUAUA
This 958-nucleotide ribosomal RNA is filed under the name Auricularia sp. Its description in RNAcentral is "partial large subunit ribosomal RNA". It matches the Rfam family "Eukaryotic large subunit ribosomal RNA", at positions 35 to 982 of the family's 3401-position model. Lineage: Eukaryota; Fungi; Basidiomycota; Agaricomycetes; Auriculariales; Auriculariaceae. The record is from RNAcentral.